RNAcentral lists this ribosomal RNA (400 nucleotides) under uncultured bacterium. Its description in RNAcentral is "bacterial SSU rRNA". It matches the Rfam family "Bacterial small subunit ribosomal RNA", at positions 355 to 745 of the family's 1533-position model. The record is from RNAcentral.
UCGAGGAUCUUUCGCAAUGGGCGCAAGCCUGACGAAGCGACGCUGUGUGGACGAUGAAGGCCUUCGGGUUGUAAAGUCCUUUCGCGUAGGAACAAGAGAGGUUAACAAAUAAUUAGCCGAUUUGAGGGUACUACGUAAAGAAGCACCGGCUAACUCCGUGCCAGCAGCUGCGGUAAUACGGAGGGUGCAAGCAUUAAUCGGAUUUACUGGGCGUAAAGGGCGCGUAGGCGGGUUUAUAAGUCAAAUGUGAAAUUCCGGAGCUCAACUUCGGAGCUGCAUUUGAAACUAUAAGUCUAUAGAGGGAUGACGGAGAAAAUGGAAUUCCACGUGUAGCGGUGAAAUGCGUAGAUAUGUGGAAGAACACCAGUGGCGAAAGCGGUUUUCUAGUUAUUACCUGACG